AUUGAACGCUGGCGGCAUGCCUUACACAUGCAAGUCGAACGGCAACAGGAACUUGCUUGCUGUUUCGCUGACCAGUGGCGGUAGGGUGACUACUGUCCGGGCACAUGCGUGAUGGAGGGCGAUAACUACUGGAAACGGUUGCCACAACCGCCUUACGUCGCAAGACCGAAGAGGGGGACCCUUGGGCCUCUUGCCAUCGCCUGUGCCCAGAUGGGAUUAGCUAGUAGGUGGGGUAACGGCUCACCCAGGCGACGAUCCCUAGCUGGUCUGAGAGGAUGACCAGACACACUGGAACUGAGACACGGUCCAGACUCCGACGGGAGGCAGCAGGGGGGAAUAUUGGACAAUGGGGGCAAGCAUGAUGCAGCCAUGCCGCGUGAGGGAAGAAGGACUUCGGGUUGUAAACAGCUUUCGGCGAGGAAGAAGUGAGAGAAGUUAAUACCGGGGGGGAAUGACGGUACCGGAAGAAGAAGCACCGGCUAACUCCGUG
This 490-nucleotide ribosomal RNA is filed under the name uncultured bacterium. Its description in RNAcentral is "partial 16S ribosomal RNA". It matches the Rfam family "Bacterial small subunit ribosomal RNA", at positions 29 to 507 of the family's 1533-position model. The record is from RNAcentral.